UAGCUCCGCCGAACGGUCGCGCCGUAUGUUGCCGAAAGGUAUUACGGUGAGGAAAGUCCGGGCUUCAAAGGGCAGGAUAGCUGAUAACGUCAGCCGCGGGAGACCGCCGGGAAAGUGCAACAGAAAUAUACCGCCCACGCUUGUGGGUAAGGAUGGAAAGGCGAGGUAAGAGCUCACCCACUUGUACGGUAACGUACAUUUGCUGUAAACCCUAUCCGAAGCAACACCCAAGGAGUGCGUUGGCCCGACGUAUGCGCUCAGGGUGGCACGGCGUACGCGCCGAAGCCUGUCGGUGACGAUAGGCGAAGAUUGAUGACCGUUUAAGACAGAACCCGGCUUACAGACGAAGCUAUCAA
RNAcentral lists this RNase P RNA (356 nucleotides) under Clostridia bacterium. RNAcentral describes it as "RNase P RNA component class A". It matches the Rfam family "Bacterial RNase P class A". From Rfam's summary of the family: Ribonuclease P (RNase P) is a ubiquitous endoribonuclease, found in archaea, bacteria and eukarya as well as chloroplasts and mitochondria. Its best characterised activity is the generation of mature 5'-ends of tRNAs by cleaving the 5'-leader elements of precursor-tRNAs. Cellular RNase Ps are ribonucleoproteins. The record is from RNAcentral. Lineage: Bacteria; Bacillati; Bacillota; Clostridia.